Molecule: microRNA precursor, 159 nt
Filed under: Pelobates cultripes (western spadefoot toad)
Lineage: Eukaryota; Metazoa; Chordata; Amphibia; Anura; Pelobatidae
Source: RNAcentral
UAAGUUGUAAAGCAGGGCUGUCCAACCUGCGGCCCCCCAGAUGUUGCUGAACUACAACUCCCAUGAUUCUUUCAAUUCAAAAGAUAGCCAGGGAAUCAUGGGAGUUAUAGUUCAGCACCAUCUGGCGGGAGGAGGGUUGGACAGCCCUGUUGUAAAUUG